AGGACGAACGCUGGCGGCGUGCUUAACACAUGCAAGUCGAGCGAGGCCCUCUCCUUCGGGAGGGGUGCCCUAGCGGCGAGCGGGUGAGUAACACGUGGGCAACCUGCCCCUAGCACUGGGAUAACUCCGGGAAACCGGGGCUAAUACCGGAUACGACCUCGGAAGGCAUCUUCUGAGGUGGAAAGUUUUUCGGCUAGGGAUGGGCCCGCGGCCUAUCAGCUUGUUGGUGGGGUAACGGCCUACCAAGGCUCCGACGGGU
Molecule: ribosomal RNA, 259 nt
Filed under: uncultured bacterium
Lineage: Bacteria
Description: partial small subunit ribosomal RNA
Rfam family: Bacterial small subunit ribosomal RNA
Source: RNAcentral